ACUGCCUUUCCAUUUGAAUAGACCAUAUAUAGUAGUAAUAUCUGUUCUUAUCAGUUUAAUAUCUGAUGCGUCUUCUAGUUGAGGACUGUCUAUUAAAUGGGUUUUUGGAACUGGAUUAAAAUUUAGGGGAAGCUGCCUUAAUAUAAAUCCGAUGUCCAGUUCAGAUCUAACUGGGAUUGUCUUUCU
Small nuclear RNA from Eublepharis macularius, 186 nucleotides. RefSeq annotates it as U2 spliceosomal RNA. Lineage: Eukaryota; Metazoa; Chordata; Lepidosauria; Squamata; Eublepharidae. The record is from RefSeq and is a predicted model, not a curated record. The transcript has a single exon.